GGAAAAUAAGAUUUCUAGUGAAUUGCUUCUUCUCUGCUCCCGCCUUCACACCGCCGUUACCGGCAGCGAGUAAAAUCUUCGCCUCCGUCAACCUCCACCGUGGCUCCGUCAUCUCACUGCAACUCCCCACCUCUACCGUGAAUCGAAGUUAACGGAAUCGAGAAAAACCAUUAUAUUUGCUCCGUCAUCUCACUGUAACUCCUCCUUCUCCGUCGUCACACUGCUGUCGACGGGUGAAUCCACUCAAAUUAUGCAAAAUAUGGAAGUAGAGAGAGUUUUUAUAGGAGCAGGAUGCAACAGAGUAGUGAAUAACGUUUCAUGGGGUGCUUCUGGUUUAGUUUCUUUUGGUGCCCAAAAUGCUGUUGCCAUUUUCUGUCCAAAGACAGCUCAAAUCUUGACUACACUGGCUGGUCAUAAAGCUUCUGUGAAUUGUACCCUUUGGCUUCCCAAUAGCAAGUUUGCAUUCAAAGCUAAGCAGCUGGAGCAACAUCUUUUGCUUUCUGGAGAUGCGGAAGGUGUAAUAAUUUUGUGGGAGUAUUCUCUUGUGGAUGCGAAGUGGAGAUAUGUCUUACAAGUGCCACAAGUCCACAAAAAAGGUGUUACCUGCAUCACGGCGAUCAUGGUGUCUCAGCAAGAAGCUGUUUUUGCAUCUGCAUCCUCUGAUGGCACUGUGAAUGUAUGCGAAGUAGUAUUUCCAUCUACUCGUGGAGGUGAUUGCAAAUUGUCGUGCUCGGAUUCUCUUUUUGUUGGUCAGAAACCUAUGGUUGCUCUUUCACUAGCAGAGCUCCCAGGGAAUAGCAAGCAGCUGGUUCUGGCCAUGGGAGGAUUGGACAACAAAAUUCAUCUAUAUUGUGGUGAGAGAAAUGGAAAAUUUCU
This 876-nucleotide unclassified non-coding RNA is filed under the name Hevea brasiliensis (rubber tree). The record is from RNAcentral. Lineage: Eukaryota; Viridiplantae; Streptophyta; Magnoliopsida; Malpighiales; Euphorbiaceae.